AAUAAUUCAACAAGGAAUUAAAAAUGGCCAAAGCAACAACCCAACAUGGACCAAGCAUCAACACGCCACAAGUGCACACAAACCAUGCGCAACACAAGCAAGAAACAAGCAAACCGCAACAUACACAACCACAUUCAAACCAUGCGCAUUACCAACAUAAAAGAAAGGUAGAAAUUAAGAGAAGAACUUGCAAAGAACUACUUCUUGUAUUGCAUCAAUCGGCUGUACAUUUUGCCAAAAGAAAACUCUCACAA
Molecule: unclassified non-coding RNA, 254 nt
Filed under: Hevea brasiliensis (rubber tree)
Lineage: Eukaryota; Viridiplantae; Streptophyta; Magnoliopsida; Malpighiales; Euphorbiaceae
Source: RNAcentral